CGUCACCGGAAUCUCAGAAAAACAAACGCACACAACGUCUUUGGCUUUUCUCAACUCAGCCACUGUUUCCCUUUGACCAACAGAGGACGUCCUGAUUUGAAUUAAAAUGGACGGCAAAGAGGAGGGAGUUAUGGAGGCCUCAGAGAGGGACAGCUCUGGGAAUGAAUCAGACCCUUUGAAGAGGAGCUCCAUGCCCCGAAACUGG
RNAcentral lists this long non-coding RNA (205 nucleotides) under Neogobius melanostomus (round goby). Its description in RNAcentral is "lncRNA (ENSNMLG00000006165.1)". The record is from RNAcentral. Lineage: Eukaryota; Metazoa; Chordata; Actinopteri; Gobiiformes; Gobiidae.